GGGCAUUCCUGAGUGUAGGCUUUGCCUGCUAUCUCUUACCCAUGUCUUUUGAGUACCUUACGUUUCCUCGGCGGGUCCGCCCGCCGAUUGGACAAUUUAAACCAUUUGCAGUUGCAAUCAGCGUCUGAAAAAACUUAAUAGUUACAACUUUCAACAACGGAUCUCUUGGUUCUGGCAUCGAUGAAGAACGCAGCGAAAUGCGAUAAGUAGUGUGAAUUGCAGAAUUCAGUGAAUCAUCGAAUCUUUGAACGCACAUUGCGCCCCUUGGUAUUCCAUGGGGCAUGCCUGUUCGAGCGUCAUUUGUACCUUCAAGCUCUGCUUGGUGUUGGGUGUUUGUCUCGCCUCUGCGUGUAGACUCGCCUCAAAACAAUUGGCAGCCGGCGUAUUGAUUUCGGAGCGCAGUACAUCUCGCGCUUUGCACUCAUAACGACGACGUCCAAAAGUACAUUUUUACACUCUUGACCUCGGAUCAGGUAGGGAUACCCGCUGAACUUAAG
RNAcentral lists this ribosomal RNA (497 nucleotides) under Marssonia sp. HL15. RNAcentral describes it as "eukaryotic LSU rRNA". The stretch from base 146 to 299 matches the Rfam family "5.8S ribosomal RNA". The record is from RNAcentral. Lineage: Eukaryota; Fungi; Ascomycota.